This is a long non-coding RNA of Olea europaea var. sylvestris, 383 nucleotides long. RefSeq lists it as uncharacterized. The record is from RefSeq and is a predicted model, not a curated record. NCBI's taxonomy places the organism in Eukaryota, Viridiplantae, Streptophyta, Magnoliopsida, Lamiales, Oleaceae. The transcript is spliced from 3 exons.
AUGGCCUUUGGGCAUGUUUGUUCUUUGUGCAGUUUCAUCAGUACCAGGUGGUGGGAAGGGCUCUACCUAUGGAGACAGAUGAGCACCCGAAGAUCUAUUGGAUGAAGCCCUGGGCUACCAUUGAGGUCCACGCUAAGUCGAAAUUUUGGUAUUUUUCUGAGGAAGCUUAAGAAUGUGAAGAAGAGCAAUGGUCAAGUUUUCAUUAUUAAUGAGUUUGAUGAGUUGGUUGAGGACAGGUGUAAAGAUGUUGAUAUAUCCAAAGGCGCUCACGCUUGUAACAGGAACAAAGAUGGAUUUGUUGAUGACAAACUUAGAUAUGAGAUAUUUCUCCACUUCUAAUUGUAGAUGAAACUUUUAAAGCAAUAUCUAGCUGUAUCUUCAUA